GACGAACGCUGGCGGCGUGCUUAACGCAUGCAAGUCGAACGGAAAGGCCCUGCUUUUGUGGGGUGCUCGAGUGGCGAACGGGUGAGUAACACGUGAGUAACCUGCCCUUGACUUUGGGAUAACUUCAGGAAACUGGGGCUAAUACCGGAUAGGAGCUCCUGCUGCAUGGUGGGGGUUGGAAAGUUUCGGCGGUUGGGGAUGGACUCGCGGCUUAUCAGCUUGUUGGUGGGGUAGUGGCUUACCAAGGCUUUGACGGGUAGCCGGCCUGAGAGGGUGACCGGCCACAUUGGGACUGAGAUACGGCCCAGACUCCCACGGGAGGCAGCAGUGGGGAAUAUUGCACAAUGGGCGGAAGCCUGAUGCAGCAACGCCGCGUGCGGGAUGACGGCCUUCGGGUUGUAAACCGCUUUCGCCUGUGACGAAGCGUGAGUGACGGUAAUGGGUAAAGAAGCACCGGCUAACUACGUG
This 468-nucleotide ribosomal RNA is filed under the name uncultured bacterium. RNAcentral's name for it is "partial 16S ribosomal RNA". It matches the Rfam family "Bacterial small subunit ribosomal RNA", at positions 28 to 507 of the family's 1533-position model. The record is from RNAcentral.